This is a long non-coding RNA of Zeugodacus cucurbitae (melon fly), 931 nucleotides long. RefSeq lists it as uncharacterized. The transcript is spliced from 2 exons. Lineage: Eukaryota; Metazoa; Arthropoda; Insecta; Diptera; Tephritidae. The record is from RefSeq and is a predicted model, not a curated record.
GUUCGUAUUAACAAUUAAUGAAAAAUUAAAGAAGCAGCAAUAUGGUUGUAGUGGUUGUCAUCAUGAAGCAGCCGCGCAGGCGUAUGUAAAAUGAGAAGGAGAGAAAUUAACAAAAUAGUACAUAUGAAAUAUUUCCAAAUAAUUACAAAAAUCAUUUUGCAACGAAAUAGUUAAAUCAAAGCAUUUACAAUAUUAAUUCGUAAUCAAGCAUCAAACGUUUUUGCAACCUAAGAAAAUCUAAGCCUAAGCUCAAGUUCACAACACAGGAACACAGGGCGCAAACGGCUGGCACAAUCAGCUAGUUCAAACAAAAGCUAAGGGACACGGUGAAUAGAAAGCAGUGAAACGGUGUAUGUGUGUUUGUGUACAUACAUACAUAUGUAUUAGUGGUGUUUGCGUCAAGCGUGAGUGUGUGUAUGUCCAGGGGUCAGAGGUGCUAUUUUCAAACGCUUUUGUAUGUAAAUGUGAAUAUAUAUACAUACAUACAUACAUUUACCGUAUAAUUUAGCAUCCUUAGAAAGUUCUAGUGUUCAAAUUAAUUAUCAAAUUCAAUUAAUUAUUAAAUUAAAUUAAAAAAAUAAUAUUCAUUAAACUAAAAAAUAAUAAUCAUUUAAUCUUGACUAUAAAAAUGAAAGUAAUUGUAAAACAUAUUUAAAUAAUAAUAAUGGUACAAUACAGAAUAAAUAAGGAAAUACAUUUUUUGUACUUUUUUAUAUAAAAUGUGAGAUAUAAUCAAACUAAAAUUAAAUAAAAAAAUAAUAAUAAUCAAAUACUUUAUAUAAAUAGCGAGGGUUGAUCUGAUGAAGCACUCUUCGAACACAAAAACACCAACUAAUCGCGACAUUUGAAUGGAUUUGAGCACAACAUUUACACAACAAAAACGAAUUUAUUAGCAAUAAAGCUGUAAAAUAGCGUAAACAAUUUUGCAAAA